Salvelinus sp. IW2-2015 is the source of this 556-nucleotide non-coding RNA. Lineage: Eukaryota; Metazoa; Chordata; Actinopteri; Salmoniformes; Salmonidae. The record is from RefSeq and is a predicted model, not a curated record.
UCUUUUUAUGUUUCUUUUCUAGAAGCUGUUUUUUUCCAUUCUGGAAGCUGCCAAACUGCCCUGCUAGUUGUCUUCUCUCACAGAGCAUCAGUCAGUCAGCUACCCAGAGAUCAACUAGACAUGAUGGCUCUUUAUGACUGUAUAUACCCUGGGUCUGGGUCUCUCUAAAUCUGCUCUGAGGAAUACAACCCUGCUCAUUGUUACCAUGGUGACAACACACCCACACACACUCACUAGCAAACCUCACUGCCCAGUGUGUGUGUGUGUGGUAUUUGUUGUUUCAGGUCUGAAAAAAAAAAGACAAGUAAAGCGUUCUUCUGUUGGUGGUGUUUUGGAACAGAGGUGUUCUGGAACAGAGGUGUUCUGGAACAGAGUUGUUCCGGAACAGAGUUGUUCUGGAACAGAGGUGUUCUGAACCAUCUUGUACAGUGUCUCUAGGUGAAGCCUAGACAUGACAUGUCACUGUCUGUAUUGACAGUCAUAUUACAUAUUAUAUUACAAUCUAAGAGGUUUUGUGUUUGUUGAUAUAAAAGUGAACAGAUAAUGCUGAAUAUAA